GCUUGUUAUCCACUUCAACCUUAUAGUUCCAAAAGGUACAUGUAGCUUAUCGCUCAACCUCCUUCCCGGUUCUGAGCUGUAAGGUUGUCCACUGAUAACAUGGACAUAAUCACAAGACUAUGCUAGUACGGUACAAUACAGUUGAAGUGGCAAAUAUGCUUUAAAGUUCCUAUCUACACCGUAUCAUAUACUGUAUCAUACAGUAUUAAUAGAUUCGUGUCAUCUUUUAGAAUUUUUGAUACUUGAAAAUGUCAUAUCUCGUUACCAUUAUCCAUCAAUUCUUGAUCUUAAAAUGGGAACUCAGAUCCACAGUGACUCAAAAACCAGCGAAGAAGAAAUGAAAAGAAGGAGAAGCAAAUGGGAAAGAACUACCGCAAGGACACUUGGUGUUCGUUUAGGAGGAAUGAAGGUAUAAUCCAUUUUCGACGUGCAUGCCGGUCUCCCUCCCAGGAUUUUUCUGCAUCAUAGAGUCAACAAAUUGGGGCUACUGAAUGAAUGAACUAUCAAUUGUUUUAUGUACCAGUUUUCGCAUGCAGUAAUUUGUAAGGCAUCAGUGAUCACCAAUUUUGAAUAUACACACAUGCAAGCACACGCAGUGCGUAUAUACUGUAUUAUAUAUAAAAAAUAUAGUUCAUGUUGAAACAAUGUCUGGGAAAUAUACAGUCGUUUGAUUAAAAGGCGAGGAGUUGCUGAAUGCAUGUAGUUUUAGUUAUUUUAUUAACAAUUAAAACUACUCAGACAUACGUUGUUAUAUACUCAUCAGAAUUUCAUGUCCAUUAUCUUCAAACAAUUAAGUGUUCCCGUUGGUUCAUUCAACGUUAGUUUUAGUUUGCUUACACGUGCUCUUCUCGUGUACUUCUGGCGUGAUUGGUUGCGCGCGUUUAUUUUCGCGCUGCUAUACCUUGCUACCAGAAAUGCUUUUCAGUUGUAGCACUUCGAGAAAACUCCAGUUCUCUUGUUGAGAAUUAUGUUCUUAUUUGCCGUCAAAGUGAAAAGUUAAUUCUUGUUGUUACAAAGAUUACAGUUUUUGCCCCCGAUUUAUACGCUGAUGCCGUGAUGCGUACUUUAAAAUAGACCACUUAGUUCUGUAUGGACGGUCGUUUUCCUUCACAUAUUACACGUACGUAGACAACACCGUCUCAUCGUAGAUAUUAUAGAGAUUCAGAUUUGACUUCCACUACCGCUACCAUUAAAGGAUCAUUAACCAAUCAGAUGCGUUUGAUGUAUCCGAUUAAUCAAUCAGAUGCGUACUAAGCACGCAGUGAGAGGUAGCGGUAGUGGAAGUCAUAUCUGAACCUCUCUAAUGUUGUUGAACGACUUCUGGUAGUUUCCGGAUCGCUCUUUAAACGUGUUUGCCGUUAUGCCAAUGUAUUGUUUUACAGUGCCUUCAGCAUGAUAAACCAGGUCUCAUGAUAAACCAGGUUUUAUGGUCUCAUUGUUUUCAGUGCCGUAGCCAGAACGAUAAUUGGGAGGGGGGGGCACAUAUUCAUAUAUUCGUGUUCUGCUUUAUUAAUCUCUUUUGAAAUCAAUUGUUUUUAUGGUAUGUGAACACGAAUAUAUGAAUAUGUGCCCCCCCCCCCCAAUUAUCGUUCUGGCUACGGCACUGAUUGUUUUGCUAAGAUCUUGGCUUUUGUCUAGAUAUGGUCGAUUUGACAUUUUUCAUACAACUAUACAUGUAUAUAUAGCUUAUUUUUAUAGAACUCCUGUUGACAAUUUUAUGGAGUGGAAACACCUUAUAGGAAAGUGGUGUCAAGGAGGCGUAGAAAAUCUUUCCAGACAUUCGUUUUGACAUUCGUACAAAAUGGUGGAGUAAACCAUGUUUAUUGCUCGGUUUCUUCCUGACGUGUAUGGGUGUCAGAGUGAGCUGCAUAAUCUAGCUUGUAUUGGUUAUUUCUCCGGUUAAGGGCCUUUUCGCGAGAGAUGUUUCGAAUGAUUGUUUGCUGGAUGAAAGUCGUGAGUUUUUUGUUGAUUGAUAUAUACAGCUCGUUGUGUUAUGGUCGAAGGUGGAUGUUGGGGUAUAGUUUUCGAUAUUCUAGCAAAUGUACGGUUUGAUGUUUAUUUUAAGUUUAUUUUAUAAAUUUCACUCAAAUUUCGAUCAACACAUCGCGAUUAUUUAACACACACGUUCUCUUCUGAUUAAAUGUACAGAAGUGUGCCAUCAAACCGCAUAUUUCCAAGACAUCACUUUUAACCUUGCUGGCGGUAGUUACCAACCCUACAGAAAACUGAACAACGACCCACUACUAGGGUUGGGCGAUAUUUCGAUAUUUUGAUUUAUCGCGAUAUUUUCAAUCGCGAUUAUCGUAUCGAAGGUAGAAACUUGAGGGACGAUAUAUCGAAAUUAUCGUCAUGCUCAAUGACUAUCGUGAUAUUGUUUCGCAUGUGCAUAUAGCUGUUAUAUAAUCGUAAAAAGAUCAUUCAAUUGCUAGAAAAUAUAGUUUUUAAAAGAAUUAAAACUAUUUCCUGAAUUAAAUACGAAUUUAAUACGAUACAAAAGCUAACUGAUAUUUAUGUAUUAAUCUGCUGAUUGCCUGCGCUGUGUGCCCACGGCAUUGUGCCAGCGGCGACACAGUAGACACCAUUGAACUAGACACUGCAUGGACAGUUAUUAUAUUAAUAGACUAAAAAAGCCUUCAUAUUAUCUUAUAUGUAAGCUUACUAUGCUUUGAUACUAAUUAAAAUUGAAAAAAUGUGGUCAUUGUUUUUGUUGCAUUUAUCGCGAUAUUAUCGAAUAUCGUGAUAAUUUCCUUGACAAUAAUCGUGAGAUGAUUUUUUUAAUAUCGCCCAACCCUACCCACUACUUUACAAAUCAACAACUAUUCCAACCAUCUACCUUCGAUUAUUACACGUCAACUACCUGUACAAAAACAAAAGACUCGGGACUUUCAUCCAGAGACAAUCAUUCGAAACAUCUGCAUCUCUCUACGAAUAGGCCCUUAAGCUGGAUUAUACAGCUCACCAUAACACCCCAAACACGUAUGGAUUAAUCCAUCAGAUAGUAGUAAGAAUGGCAGAACGAAUAUCGGUAAAUAUUUUCUACGCCUCCUUGACACCCACUUUCCUAAGUCGCCUCCACUCCAUAAAAUCUUCAACAGGAACAUUAUAAAAAUAAUCUAAAUCAAUCAAUCAAUCACAAAACAAUAUUGCACGUCUAUGGUCGGCACAGACGACGUCGAAUUGCGCCAUAAUAUAAUCACACUGAAUUUUAUGAGAGGUGAUUACCGCUAUAAUUCAACAUGUAUAUUAUGCAAUUCAAUUACGCAUUUCACUAUGACACUCCGAACUAUUGCUAAUUUCUGAUCCAUUGACUUUCUUAACCAAAAUUUAAUCAGUUUGUCCUUGGCCAACGUCCAUUAGUCCCACAAAUUAACGAACUACAGUAUUACAAUUUAUUGAAUAUUUUGACUCGAAUCGUUGUGUCAUCCUGAUAUAAACCCUGGUUAAACCGUUCAACCCUUGUGCAGUUUUCUUCUUGUUUUACAUGUAGAAUUUCGUUACUCUGCAGGUAUAUCAUGUUGACUGUGGA
Molecule: non-coding RNA, 3526 nt
Organism: Paramuricea clavata
Lineage: Eukaryota; Metazoa; Cnidaria; Anthozoa; Malacalcyonacea; Plexauridae
Source: the annotation of a GenBank genome assembly